AACUUUCAACAACGGAUCUCUUGGCUCUCGCAUCGAUGAAGAACGCAGCGAAAUGCGAUAAGUAGUGUGAAUUGCAGAACUUUGUGAACCAUCGAAUCUUUGAACGCAAAUUGCGCCUUUUUCGAAAGGCAUGUCUGUUUGAGGGCACCAU
Molecule: ribosomal RNA, 151 nt
Filed under: Paraglomus occultum
Lineage: Eukaryota; Fungi; Glomeromycota; Glomeromycetes; Paraglomerales; Paraglomeraceae
Description: 5.8S rRNA
Rfam family: 5.8S ribosomal RNA
About the family: 5.8S ribosomal RNA (5.8S rRNA) is a component of the large subunit of the eukaryotic ribosome. It is transcribed by RNA polymerase I as part of the 45S precursor that also contains 18S and 28S rRNA.
Source: RNAcentral